This is an RNA transcript of Nymphaea colorata (pocket water lily), 7011 nucleotides long. It is a transcript of the gene named protein ALP1-like, with no coding region annotated. The transcript is spliced from 3 exons. NCBI's taxonomy places the organism in Eukaryota, Viridiplantae, Streptophyta, Magnoliopsida, Nymphaeales, Nymphaeaceae. The record is from RefSeq and is a predicted model, not a curated record.
UAAAACAUAAAAUAUUUUAACUUUCUUUUUAUUGAAAUGGAAUCGGGCGGGGCCGGAUGACCGGCAGUCGUUGUGGACUUUCAACCUUGAGCAUAACGUAAAACGAAGACCUCAGAGCGGGCUCUCUGUCUCUCUUCUGAGUUCUCACCCCUUUCAACCUCAAACCGAAGUGCAGGCUCCGUCCUCAAAAUCUCGCCUGCUGAUAUAGUGGGAGAGAGGGAAAAGAGAGGGCAGAAAGACGGAGAGAAAAAAAGGAGCAAUGGAUCCUUCUCUCUUCAUGAUGCUGUCCAACCUGCUGCAGCUUCACAACUAUCUUGACCCCGCCCUCCCAACCUCCUCCCUCGCCGACGCCUACUCCAGCUCCGCCCCUCUCCUCUUCUUCGUGAUCGCCUCUGUCCUUUCGCAUGCCGCAGCCCUUCGUUCCCGAUCCACUGCCUCCUCCUCCUCCCCGACCUCCGCCUCCACCACCACCACCACCACAACGACGACCACUACCACUACCACCACCACCACUACCGCCACCACCGCCGCCACGCCCAACUCCUCCUCCGACAGGAAUGUCGACGCCUUCCGUUCCCUCACGAAUGAACGAAUAUGGUCGAUGGAGCCGCAGACGCGCGAUGCGCAGUGGCGUUCCGCCUAUGGCCUCUCCUACCCGGUGUUCGCCAAUCUAGUGGACCAGCUCAAGCCCCAUCUCCAGAAGUCCCUGGCCGUCGACCUUGGCCUGCCGGCCGACUACGCCGUUGCCAUCGUCCUUUCCCGCUUGGCCCACGGCCACUCCCUUAAGGCCAUGGCUGCCCACUACAAGCUCAAGCCCUACCAGAUAUCCAAGCUCACAAAUUUGGUCACCCGCCUCCUCGCGACCAAGCUCUACCCCAACUAUAUCCGCACUCCCGGCGGUCACCGCCUCCUCGAGACCAUCCACGCCUUCCGCGAGAUCACAGGCCUCCCCAACGUCUGCGGCGCCAUUGAUGGCAGCUAUGUCAAGCUCGCUCGCACCACUGAAGCUCGUAUUGUCGACCCCGCGAGUUUCCGGUGCCGGUAUGGGUACUGCUCCAUCCUGCUCCAGGUGGUUUCCGACCACCGGAAGAUCUUCUGGGACGUUUGCGUCAAGGCUCCUGGCGCCUCUGACGACGCCACCCAUUUUAGGGAUAGUGCCCUCUACAACCGCCUCACCUCGGCCGAGAUCCUCCGGGACACUGUCAUCUCCGUCCGGGGGCACCACGUUAGGCCAUAUAUUAUUGGGGAUUGGUGUUACCCUUUGCUCUCCUUCCUGCUAACGCCCUUCACCUCUAAUUCGACUGGCACGCUCGCGCAGAACUUCUUCGACGCUUCGUUGAUGAAAGGCCGAUCAAUGGUGGAGCAAGCCAUCGGAUUGCUCAAGGGGAGGUGGAGGAUUCUGCAGGAUUUGAAUGUGGGGAUUAACCAUGCUCCGCAGACCAUCGUUGCUUGCUGUGUUCUCCACAAUAUAUGCCAAUUUGCUGGAGAGCCGGAACCCGUGCUCUACAAGGAACCUAAGGAAUCGGGGCCUCCUUCGAGGACGCUCGAGAAUGAGAAAUCGUUCUAUUAUUUUGGAGAGAGUUUGAGGCAGGCCAUUGCGGAUGAGAUUCAAGAGAGGCAACAGCGACUCCCUACAAGAUAGAAGAGGUGAUCGAUGAAGGUUGUUAACUUGCCUUGAGACUGUUUUUCCUGAUUACACUACAACAAAUUGGAUUGAGAAUGAUAUCAACAACACUCCAAUUGUCACACAAUUGCAGGCAUCAUGAGACUUCUCCUAAACCACCUUGUAAAUAUUGAACUCAUGUAGCUUCAUUUUUCUCUGUCUAUAUUGCCAUGGACAUGUAUUCAGCUUUUGUACUUGAUCUUGUUGUAGUUACUUUGUUUUUACUACUCCAUGAUACAAAAUUGUGUCCCAUAGAUAUUUAAUACUUAGAAGCAGAUCUCCUCUCAUCUGGCUCUCACCUAAUCUACAUGUUUAUAACGGUUGAUUUCAUGCCCUCUAUCAUCAUUCUAGGUUUGUUUAUCACCAAUGGUCACUUUUAGGCAUCCUGAAUUCUUUUGACAACAUCGACAUGGUUUACCCUUGACACAUGCAUAAAUUUCGAUACUUGAUUGACAUAAUAAAAAAUUUAAGAUAUUGAAGCAUUCCAACAAUGUUUUAGUAUUUGGGCGGGCCAUAGUUAGCAAACUUACCCAUCCGAGUCAUGAGUUGCUCGAGUAAGCUAGGAUCAUCCAUUUACUGGGUCACGAGUCAAGGCCCACUGAGUCAGCUGGGAUCGUCAACUAAUUACAUGUGCUUCUUUGUUGUGCAUUUCUGAAUACUGAAGUUUGUUACUUUUGGAAUUGUGAGCUAUCACAAACUUUACUAAAUAAACACAAAUACUCAUAUUACAUGUUAUUCACCUUUAGUUGAUAAAAAAAUUCGAACAUAUAGUCCUGCCGUACUUGCCUUUUUCUUAUAUUUAUAGAAAAUGCACUAUAAAAAAUUAUGACCUAACCCAGCCCUUCACUUGCCAAAGUGCAUCUUGGAUCUUUCGAUUAUGUUAUGGUCGUGUCCCACUCGUGGUGACCUGGUUGAAUUGGGAGAAGCAGUAGGUAUUAUUGUGGGUCAAUCCAUUGGAGAACCAGGGACUCAACUAUCCAUUUCAUUAGGAAUUGAUGAUCUCUUAACAACACCUUCUAAGAGAUGGUUAGUCCAAGAUGCUGAAUAACAAAGUUUGAUUUUGGAAAAGCACCAUCAUUAUGGGAAUGUACACGCUGUAGAAAAAUUACGUCAAUCAAUCAAGAUAUGGUAUGCCACAAGUGAUGUUUGGGACAAGAAAUGAAACUUAAUUUUAAGAUGACUGAUCCAUCAAAUCCAGUCCAUAUAAUGUCCUAUUCUAGAGCUAGAGGAAAGACAAUUCUCUGACCCAGUGACCCAAUCUGCAGCCGAUCUUAUUCUGAGUCAUGGGCUUGCCAACUAUGAUGGUGCAUGUUUCCAUUUUUAGUGUUGAGCCUUUACUAUGGAAUACCAGGUGUAUUCAUAGGCUUACUAUUUGUCCUUUCUACCCUAUUCAAUAAAUCAAGAGUUUACUUAUGUUGCAAAAGAGUCGACAUGUAUCCUUGUCCGUCCAAUUUAACCUCAAGAAAAUGUCUAAAUUCUUUAAGAUCUUUUAUCUUGAAAGUGUGCAUCAUAAGUCUUUGACUGUUUGUAGAUGGUUAUCUAAGUUGCCUAUGAUAAUAAAUUUGUCAACAUAUAUGAAGAGUAAAGUAGUGAUAUUCUCUUUCUUAAAAAUAAGAAAAUGGGCAAGACGCCACCUUCGAAAACUCCAAUUUUUUGAAGCUGGAGGGAAAAGGAUUCUAACCAAGAAUGAGAUUCUCACUUCAGUUAGGGAUGGGAUCGGGUCUGCCCGAUUGAGCUAGAAUAAGAAGUCGGGCUCAGGCUGGCUGCAGUCCAUGCCUACAGCCUGGGCCCCCGCUCGACAGCCUGCGACCUGAUUAUAAUAUAUAUAUAUAUAUAAUAUUAUAUAAAAAGAUUAUAUAUAUUAAAUAAAAUAAUGUUAUAAAUAUUAUUGUGCUGAGUUGGGCUGAGUACAGGGUACCCAUCAUGCACCCGUUUCAGUGUCCGCCCUUAACUUCAAUCAAGUAGGUGAAUUUUUCUUAGUUUGUACACUCUGGCAUUGGGGUCUUGUUUGGCAUAUCCAGAGGUUUCUCCUUGUAUAAUUACUUCUCAUUUCUAGGAAAGAUAUUUUUGACAUCUCAUUGAGUGUACUGCCAAUGACAUAAUAAUGCAAACUGUUCCCUUAUUGUCUAUGGGACUGAAAGUCUCAUUGCAGUGUUUCCCAUAUUGUUGGGUUAGCACGCACCACAGGCCCUACUUUUUCUCUCAAGGAUUCUAUCUGGUUUAUAUUUGAUCUUAUAAUAUCACUUGCAUUAUACGACAUUUUUUCCUUACGUGUAGGCACCACCUUCCUGGUCUGACAUUCUAUCCAUUUAUUGAAGGUAGUGAGUUCAUCUUGUUAGCAACCUGAUACAUAAACAAUUAAAAGUUCAUGAAAAAAUAUUCAUAAUUAACCCACCGUUGGAUUGGACGAUGAACUCUGUCUCAUCUCCAUAUAGGGUAACUUGUCCUAGGUUCUUACAUAUCUCAUGUAGGAUCAUUUUCUCUUCAAACAUAGACUUGUCCUGGAAGCCAUUGUACUCUGACUUGGGCAUCGGGCCGGAUAAAAAAAUUAUUUUUUAAAAUAUAAAAUAUUUUUUGAAUAUAAAAUAUAAUUUUAAUAAUAAGGUAUAUAUUAUUAAUAACAAAUAUUAUUUAAAAGUUAUCUGUCCGGAUCGGCCCCCCGUUCGGCCCGGACCUGGGCCCGUAUUGGCCGGGUACCGACUACCUGCCGGCGGUCCGGCCCGGCACCCAGGUCUAAUUGUACUAUUUCAGACAUAUGUGCAAUGGUUGUAUGUUCUUGCAACCCUCCAUUUAAGUUAAAGAAUUGGCAAAAAAUUUGAAUUUGCACAGGCAAACAAGGAUCAUGGACCUCAAUGUUGCGGGAGUAUUUUUUUUGUAUAAUGAUAUUGUAUCGACAAAAUCUUGUUCGUGAAAAGAUUCAAAGCACAAUGUUUCUAGAAUCAUGUUCUUGCAAUAGGAUCAUAGCAUAGUAUCUCUUAUGUUUGUCUGCAUAUCCAAUCAAUAUGCACUUCACAACUGUCUUAGAUGUGUUAAUGUGGAUAUAACACAUAAACCAAAAGUACACAAUUCAUUAGGAUCAGGAUGUUGUCUAUAAAGAGUGAAGUGAGGAGACUUAUGUGCUAAAAUUGUCAUGGACAAAUAGUUAAUAACAUGAACAGUAGUGUGAAAAGCUUUUUUUAAGAGAGAUGUAUAUAUCAUUAGUUUACUAUUUCGGAUCUGGAUAUGAAUCUAAUAGAGUGAAAUAAGAAGACUUGUCUGCUAGUACUGACAUGGCCAAACAACUAAUAAGAUGAAUAAUGAUGUGAAAAGUUUCUAUUCAAGAGAUGUAUAUGUUAUUUCUUUUAUUAUUUUGGAUUUGAGCAUGUCCAAUCCAAACAAUAUGUUGUAUACUAAGUCACAUUGGUACUUCAGUAAGGUCCACGUACCUGUGUCGCCGUACCCAUACCCAAGCUACUUGGACACACUUGGGUACCUUUAGAUCCAAACUUCUUACUUUUACUUUGAUUUAAUUUUUUCCACCUCACUUUUUAUUUUAUUCUUAGAGUUAUUGUUCAUUAACAUAUAAUGUUUUUAUUUAUAUUACUUGUUUAUUAAAAUGUUGCUUUCAUUUUUUUUUGUGUUAUUUUGCAUAUCCACAUAUUACAUACAUAUAUCCUACCGUACCCCCGUACCCACAUUUUUUAAAGUUGUCGUGUCCGUACCUGUAUCUCCGUACCCAUCCCCAUACCAUACCCGUACCCAUGUGACUUACGUUGUAUAUAUACAUACUAUAUAAAUACCCAAUUUUUCUCGUCGUACUUUGUCAAUUAGGGUGAUGCCCUUUUAUUGUCAAUAGAACAAUUACUACCACAUAUCGUUGUGACAUUUGAUCUUGUGCAGUUUUUCCUCUUCUUUUCUUUAUUCUUUCUUGUAAAGCGUUUUGGGAGAUUUCUGUCAUACACAGAGUGAAUCUGAUCCUAGGACUGCUUUUUUCUGAAAAUUGUGUUCCAAGUGAUCUCUUCUGCUUCUGAAUAUCUCUGUUUGCAUUUCUUUCAUUUGUUUCCUCUCUCCUUUGGCUCCUUAAAUGUGUUUGCUUUAUUCUAUUUUCUUGCCAUAAUGUUUUUUUAAUGUCACCUAUUCAUAAUUUGAGUACUCCUGUGUCAAUUAUUUCCUCACUUCACUUAUUCUUACUACCCCUCCUUACUUUUUCUCCAUUCUGUUCUCUUCUCUUCUACCCAGCAAUAUCUUAUUUCUCUUCUGUUUUACUUAUUCUGUUCUGCGUCAUACCAUCAUCCUUUAUUCAUACGAUUCAAUUUUGUCCAGCAUCCCAUAUCUGUCCCUCAUCAACUGAACAGUUUUCAUGACAUCAAAGAUGUUUUCUCUGUUCUACAUAAUAUUGCCUGUGUGCUGUUGGGUUGCUCAAGUUGUGCAGUUUCAGUAAACAACAGAAUCUCUCAAUUUGAUGUUUGAUCUCUCUUUUACUAAAAAAGGAAUGAACAAGGACCAAAAGAGAGGGAGAAUAUACAUAUAUAUAAGUACUAUAUAUAUUUCUGAGGUGUAUGUAUUUGUAUCCAAAGGAGAGAAGAGAAGUAAUGUUUCAGCAAGAAGAAUUCUGGUUGUUCUAAAUUCAAAGCUGCUUAUUUUUCAAUUUUUCCUUCCGAAAAAAAUUCAUUCAUUUUCUUCUGUCCUCUUAAUUCUUAUACUUCCACUACUUUUAUCCUCUUGUUUUGUCACAUGGACCUCUAUUCUCAAUCUGUUAUCUCCUCCAAUUUUCUGGGAGAACUAGUUUAUAAAAAACUUACCUCAAAUUUCUUGACCGGAAAAUGCAAAGUCUUUUAUUGGUUAAAUGUCAAGGUCUCUCUAAACACCUUGAUGGAUCGAUUUCAGUCCCUCUGGAAUAUGUCAUGCAAUGCAGGAAACUAAUGAUGGUAAUAGAGCUGGUGGCUCUGCAAAAAUUGUUUUAGAUCUCAAAUAUGAGACAUGGAUGAAGCAUGACCAAGCAGCAGCAGCUGUUGCUUUCAUCACCUCCUCUUUCUCAAGAGGUGUUAGUGAAAACUCCUGAUCUGUGAUAAGUGUUCGGCAAGAAGAGUUUUGAGAUAAGCUGGCAAAGACUUCAGGGACCAGAAUCUCAUAUUGUCGGUAUGAAGCAUGAUUGUCCUUUUGCAUAAUUUUUUUCUCAUGUUAAUUCCUUAGUUCCUUUUUCUUUUAUCAUGUACUUUGCUCAUGUUGAGCAUGGAAGGCAGUUGUUUAACAAUUAAUGGAGCUCAUUUAGCCCUCUUGCUUGUACUUCGUCUUCUUCAACCUUCUAUCUCUUCAUCCAUCACUUUGCCGAUAUUCUGCACGGAAGGCAAGAUAAUACUUUUGUAUAA